Molecule: ribosomal RNA, 868 nt
Filed under: uncultured archaeon
Lineage: Archaea
Description: bacterial SSU rRNA
Rfam family: Archaeal small subunit ribosomal RNA
Source: RNAcentral
CUCCGGUUGAUCCCGCCGGACCCGACUGCUAUCAGAGUGGGACUAAGCCAUGCGAGUCAACAUAGCAAUAUGUGGCAUACGGCUCAGUAACACGUAGUCAACAUGCCCAGGGGACGUGGAUAACCUCGGGAAACUGAGGAUAAACCGCGAUAGGUCAUCACUUCUGGAAUGGGUAAUGACUUAAAUCUAUAUGGCCCCUGGAUUGGACUGCGGCCGAUCAGGCUGUUGGUGAGGUAAUGGCCCACCAAACCUGUAACCGGUACGGGCUCUGAGAGGAGGAGCCCGGAGAUGGGCACUGAGACAAGGGCCCAGGCCCUAUGGGGCGCAGCAGGCGCGAAACCUCUGCAAUAGGCGAAAGCUUGACAGGGUUACUCUGAGUGAUUUCCGUUAAGGAGAUCUUUUGGCACCUCUAAAAAUGGUGCAGAAUAAGGGGUGGGCAAGUCUGGUGUCAGCCGCCGCGGUAAUACCAGCACCCCGAGUGGUCGGGACGUUUAUUGGGCCUAAAGCAUCCGUAGCCGGUUCUACAAGUCUUCCGUUAAAUCCACCUGCUUAACAGAUGGGCUGCGGAAGAUACUAUAGAGCUAGGAGGCGGGAGAGGCAAGCGGUACUCGAUGGGUAGGGGUAAAAUCCGUUGAUCCAUUGAAGACCACCAGUGGCGAAGGCGGCUUGCCAGAACGCGCUCGACGGUGAGGGAUGAAAGCUGGGGGAGCAAACCGGAUUAGAUACCCGGGUAGUCCCAGCUGUAAACGAUGCAGACUCGGUGAUGAGUUGGCUUAUUGCUAACUCAGUGCCGCAGGGAAGCCGUUAAGUUUGCCGCCUGGGGAGUACGGUCGCAAGACUGAAACUUAAAGGAAUUGGCGGGGGAGCC